GCGGGUGCUAUACAUGCAGUCGAGCGGACAGAUGGGAGCUUGCUCCCUGAUGUUAGCGGCGGACGGGUGAGUAACACGUGGGUAACCUGCCUGUAAGACUGGGAUAACUCCGGGAAACCGGGGCUAAUACCGGAUGGUUGUUUGAACCGCAUGGUUCAAACAUAAAAGGUGGCUUCGGCUACCACUUACAGAUGGACCCGCGGCGCAUUAGCUAGUUGGUGAGGUAACGGCUCACCAAGGCAACGAUGCGUAGCCGACCUGAGAGGGUGAUCGGCCACACUGGGACUGAGACACGGCCCAGACUCCUACGGGAGGCAGCAGUAGGGAAUCUUCCGCAAUGGACGAAAGUCUGACGGAGCAACGCCGCGUGAGUGAUGAAGGUUUUCGGAUCGUAAAGCUCUGUUGUUAGGGAAGAACAAGUACCGUUCGAAUAGGGCGGUACCUUGACGGUACCUAACCAGAAAGCCACGGCUAACUACGUGCCAGCAGCCGCGGUAAUACGUAGGUGGCAAGCGUUGUCCGGAAUUAUUGGGCGUAAAGGGCUCGCAGGCGGUUUCUUAAGUCUGAUGUGAAAGCCCCCGGCUCAACCGGGGAGGGUCAUUGGAAACUGGGGAACUUGAGUGCAGAAGAGGAGAGUGGAAUUCCACGUGUAGCGGUGAAAUGCGUAGAGAUGUGGAGGAACACCAGUGGCGAAGGCGACUCUCUGGUCUGUAACUGACGCUG
This 723-nucleotide ribosomal RNA is filed under the name Bacillus subtilis. RNAcentral's name for it is "bacterial SSU rRNA". It matches the Rfam family "Bacterial small subunit ribosomal RNA", at positions 42 to 748 of the family's 1533-position model. The record is from RNAcentral. Lineage: Bacteria; Bacillati; Bacillota; Bacilli; Caryophanales; Bacillaceae.